GACGAACGCUGGCGGCGUGCCUAAUACAUGCAAGUAGAACGCGCAGUUUAUACCGUAGCUUGCUACACCAUAGACUGUGAGUUGCGAACGGGUGAGUAACGCGUAGGUAACCUGCCUGGUAGCGGGGGAUAACUAUUGGAAACGCUAGCUAAUACCGCAUAAUAUUAAUUAUUGCAUGAUAAUUGAUUGAAAGAUGCAACUGCAUCACUACCAGAUGGACCUGCGUUGUAUUAGCUAGUAGGUGAGGUAACGGCUCACCUAGGCGACGAUACAUAGCCGACCGGAGAGGGUGGGCGGCCACACUGGGACUGAGACACGGCCCAGACUCCUACGGGAGGCAGCAGUAGGGAAUCUUCGGCAAUGGACGAAAGUCUGACCGAGCAACGCCGCGUGAGGGAAGAAGGUUUUCGGAUCGUAAAGCACUGUUGUAAGAGAAGAACGGGUGUGAGAGUGGAAAGUUCACACUGUGACGGUAUCUUACAAGAAAGGGACGGCUAACUACGUG
This 505-nucleotide ribosomal RNA is filed under the name uncultured bacterium. RNAcentral's name for it is "partial 16S ribosomal RNA". It matches the Rfam family "Bacterial small subunit ribosomal RNA", at positions 28 to 507 of the family's 1533-position model. The record is from RNAcentral.